CUCUCCUUAACACACUGUAUUUUUAAGAUGUUUUACUGAGACUUCACACCGAUUUUAUCGGCCUUAUCGGUAUCGGCCGAUAAUUACCAUUUUAUGCUGAUCGGCUUUAAUGACAUAAUUCGCCCGGCUCCGCAAAAGACAUUUACUCCGCGUCGCCGCGUGCGCAGUAUAUUUGAAUCCAAAAGCUGGUUUAUUUUUAGCCUCGUCGAGUGUGUUUUGACGUAGUAUUGGAAAUAUCUGACGACCAAUAGCUAUUUAAAAAAAAAACCCAAAAAACAUGUCGGCGGUGUGGAACAGAACACGUAAUGCCCGGAUCAGACUACAAGACAAAUUUGCUCUUUCACGAUUGCACUAUGUCAGACAACUGCAAUAAAAUCUUCUAUUCCGAUACCACCACAUCCCGUUUUUUUCCGAUCACUGGCCUUCAUCGUGCCAACGCAAACGCGACCGGAUACGCUCGUUACCAUGGCGACGACAACAACAACGGAUCGCGCCGUGGACGUGAACAUGCCGCCGUACUGUCGACUCAUGCUCUAAAGUUUUGGUGUGGGUGAAGUAAUUUAAUUAAAAAUAAAGUAAUUUAAUUACAGUAAGUUGGCACCCAUUAUUUCUGUCAUGUAAUGUUGGUUUGUAUUAGUUUUACUGUAUACUCUCAGGGUGACUUAACACUAGGCAAUCCGUGCAGUGCUUGGGACCCAGUUAACUUUUGGACACCUCAAGUCCAGUAUAUUUGACUAGUGUGAGUGGUCUGAUCCGGACUCAAGUUGGGCACACUUCCCUCUAUCUGGGACGCUCUGAAGAGGUGAGCAAGACCGGUCAUGGCAUAAUUGGUCAUGGAGACGGACUUGCACACAUAAAAUUACUGUAAUGUGAUCGCGAAUCACAAUGUUUAAUGAUAACCACCACUAGCAAAAAGUUAUAGAUAGGAAAAGUACCGUAAUUUCUCAUGUAUAAUGCGCAAUUCCCCCCCCCCCCCACCCACCCACUCAAAGUCAAUAGUGUGCAUUAUACAUGGGUAUAGGGGGAAAUGAAAAAAAUCACGUUUUAUAAUGCCAUCUAGAGGUUAUGAAAAAGCUGUACACUUUCAUCCCAAUAUGCCACUGCCCCCUAGAGGUUAUGAAAAAGUUGUACACUUUCAUUCUAGUAUGCCACCUAGAGGUUAUGAAAAAGGUGUAGCCUACACUUUCAUUUCAGUAUGACAGGGGUACAUAUGACUGCAUAGAUGCACAAUUCUGCUCAUAAAUUUAUAUACCCAGGCAGAAUCUGUGAAAUAUGUAUUUAUUUAUUAAAUACGACUGAUGACUGAACAACAACCAUCAUUAAUUUCUUUAUUGUUGUGUUUUGUUUAAUGAUAAUGCUUUUCUGAAAUGCUUGACAGUUUAAUUUGAAUUCCAUUAAAAUAAAAUUAAAUAUCUUUCACCUGGUCCUUCAUGUUUUCUGUGAAGAGUUGUACCCAUCUUACAAAUUCUGCCUGGGUAAUCCAACAUGGGAGCACAACUGUGUGUUCUCUUAUUUACUAAAUAAAAGCAGGGCUGUGAAUUUCAAAAUAAGAGCUAGCAAAUAAAAAGAAAGUAUUACGUGUUCAAAUAAAGUGCUUAACUUCAGAAUAAUUCUUUGAAAACACAAAGAAAAUACAGAUAAUACUUCAUAUUUUGAUCAUAUGGGUAGACGCGAAAUCAUGCAUUGUAUAAAUGCAUUAUACAUCGGUAGAAGGGUUUUCCAGAAUUUUGAGGUCAAUUUUUGGUGUGCGGAUUAUACACGAGAGAUUACGGUAUUUUAACUCUGACAAAAUACGUUUCAAAAAAAUUACUUCCUGGGUACAUGGGUACCACCUAGGUCAUAUAAUUGAUGUGAUCCCCUCUCUCUUCAGUUGGUAAGGUUGACAGCCAAGUCAGGAAAGUUGCACUUAACUCAUUCCCUGCCAAUGCCGUCAAAAGACGUCAUUCAAAAUCCAUCUAUUCCCUGCCAAUGCCGUCUAAAGACGUCAAUGGCGUUUUUUAACGGGGAUGGAUGGGGGAGGGUCUUGUGCAGUUUGUGUGAUUGUUGAGCCUCCGGAUAACUGCAAUGAGGAUCGGCACCCUGUAGAGGGGAACAAUGCCUUGAGGUAAACGUCCCUCCCUAAGAGGAAGAAGAGGAAGAAUAAGGAGGGGCCGGGGUGCAAGAGACAAUGAGUAAAGGCAAAUAUAAUGGCGGCAAAGAGAAUACAAAAUGAAAAAAAAUCUAACAAAACUAGAAACUUCGGAACUAGAAAUUUAUUGCGCCAAGGCAAAAAAAUAUAUUCCUGCGACCGACAGGAAUGACGCCUUAGAUCACGCGGGGGAAUAAAAGACGACGCUCCAAGCCAGAAUGGCGCUCCGAGAGAUCGCUUUGCUGCAAAGCUAGUGGCCAAAAUGCCGGGCCAAAUGGCGACAUCCUCGGCCGCUUGCCAGCUGAUCGUCUGCCGACCAGGAUUUGAGUAACUGGGAUCCGGAGUCGUCAGAUGAGUGAACGCCCUCUGGAUCGCCAGCCGAGCUUCAUCCCUCCGGAUGACAUGGAGACAAAGGAAUUCAACACCCGCAAGUCUUUUACGAUGGCGAUGAAGAAAAGUUAUGCACCCAGCAGACGUUCGACCCCCGUUCCAGUAAGCAGUGCAGACAAAAGAGGUUGGGCUUCGACCAGAAGUAGGGACUGGUUUCAAGGACGAUGACAGCCACACAAGACCGCCACCAAAGAAUAAAAUCCAGAUGUGGAUAAAACUUUGCUAGAUUUUAUGCGGAAGGUAAUAAAAACCUGGACUAUUGAGCAAACUGUAGAGGAGGAGAAUUUGGAGAAAGAAAAGUGCAAGUGUGGGAGCCCCAUUUUUUCAUGCAUUUUUGUCUCAUGUAAAUUCUGUACAUAGUUAUUCUUGUAAAUAAAUACAUUUUCUGUCAAAAGUAGUUUCUCAGUGUUGUUUUAUGUUCAGAGGUUUGAGAUUUUCACGAAAGAACAAAAAAUAUCGGCGUCAAAGUCAUUGUUCUGCUUGAUGCGUCUGCUUUCACAAAAAGGCUGUUUUCUCAGUUUUUCUCCCUCCAGAAACAGAUUUGGCUGAAAGUAGCCAAUAUUUGACUGCUGAUUACUAAAGAACGGUAUAAG
Phycodurus eques (leafy seadragon) is the source of this 3111-nucleotide long non-coding RNA. RefSeq lists it as uncharacterized. NCBI's taxonomy places the organism in Eukaryota, Metazoa, Chordata, Actinopteri, Syngnathiformes, Syngnathidae. The transcript is spliced from 4 exons. The record is from RefSeq and is a predicted model, not a curated record.